Daucus carota subsp. sativus is the source of this 1033-nucleotide long non-coding RNA. RefSeq lists it as uncharacterized. The transcript has 6 exons. Lineage: Eukaryota; Viridiplantae; Streptophyta; Magnoliopsida; Apiales; Apiaceae. The record is from RefSeq and is a predicted model, not a curated record.
UUGCACACGCCACACGAUGCUUCAAUUAAUAAGAAAAGGAUACACCAAACCUGAGAUUAUACGCAAAUUGUAGUCACACGACAGCUUCUGGUGCCUCGCACUAUGUUUGUCGAGAUUAUUGGGAUUGCUGAUGGGGCUCAGUCUGUUUAUGCUCAUAUUGGGACUAAUUUUUGAGAUAAUUUCGGGAGUGAAGCAGCUCUGUUUAUAAAGUGAUCAAGUGCCUUUGUUCUGUGAUUCACCUGGUUUUGCGAUAACCUGGCCAGGAUCUCCUCUAAUUUCAUUAGCUUGAAUCAGGAAAGUAUGAUGAAUACGGUGGAGAAAUCUUUGGAUUUCUUGUCUCUGAACUUUGGCGGAGGGUUUAAGAAAGGGAAACUGAAACUUCCACUGCCAAUUUAUACUACAUAUGGGGAGUCUUUACCCACUAAUUUGGUUUUACAUGGUCCUUUUGAUGAAGUUUGGCCUUGUACAUUUAAGAAAGGUGAUAAUCGUAUCCAUGGUUUGGAAAAAUGGAUGGAUUAUUAUAAAAUAAAGCCUUAUAAUGUUGUGCUUCUAACCUAUCUCAGCGGGGCUGAUUUUCGGUUUGUGAUUUUUUCACAAUAUGCUGUUGAAAUGAACUAUCUAUCUGUUGUUUCGGGAAGUGGGAGUAAGAACUCUGCGUACGAAGUUGACAAACUUGCUUGCAAAUACAAAUUUAAUGGGUUUUGUAAUUUUGUUGGGAAGUACAAUCUUCUAGUUGAACCAGCUCACUUGGUUGAAGAAUCUUUUCCAUAGAUAUUGUUGAAUGAAGCAAUUGAGCAGUUGGGAUUGGAUCAGUCCGUACGUUCAAUCCUACUGGGAUUUGAAGAGCAUCAGUGGUCUAUUAGUCUAAACUGGUAUAAUGAUGUAGUGCAAUUUGGGAGUGAGGGGCUUGAAUUUGUGAAUGCAGCAACCAUUUCUGUUGGUGAUCUAAUUGUUCUGCAGGAGCAGGAGACUAAAUACAUCCGUUAUUACGUUAUUACAGAGUAGUUGUUUUUGAUUCUAACACAGUUUCAAA